This 494-nucleotide ribosomal RNA is filed under the name uncultured bacterium. RNAcentral's name for it is "partial 16S ribosomal RNA". It matches the Rfam family "Bacterial small subunit ribosomal RNA", at positions 28 to 507 of the family's 1533-position model. The record is from RNAcentral.
GACGAACGCUGGCGGCGUGCUUAACACAUGCAAGUCGAACGGUGAAGCGCCUUCCUUUUUGGUGGGUGUGGAUGAGUGGCGAACGGGUGAGUAACACGUGAGUAACCUGCCCCCUUCUUCUGGAUAACCGCAUGAAAGUGUGGCUAAUACGGGAUAUUCUGGGUCUGUCGCAUGAUGGGUCUGGGAAAGAUAUUGUUUCGGUGGGGGAUGGGCUCGCGGCCUAUCAGCUUGUUGGUGGGGUGAUGGCCUACCAAGGCGGUGACGGGUAGCCGGCCUGAGAGGGUGGACGGUCACACUGGGACUGAGACACGGCCCAGACUCCUACGGGAGGCAGCAGUGGGGAAUAGUGCACAAUGGGCGCAAGCCUGAUGCAGCGACGCCGCGUGAGGGAUGGAGGCCUUCGGGUUGUGAACCUCUUUCGCCAGUGAAGCGGGCCUGCCUCGUUUGUGGGUGGGUUGACGGUAGCUGGAUAAGAAGCGCCGGCUAACUACGUG